AUCCUUAUGUAGUUGAUAAUCAUGAUUGGGUUUUUACGCAUGUGGGUGAGAUGUCCCUCCCUCAAACCUUGUUGUCUUGUCGGCUUGUUACUCAUCUGGCA
Lemur catta (Ring-tailed lemur) is the source of this 101-nucleotide small nucleolar RNA. RefSeq annotates it as small nucleolar RNA U13. The transcript has a single exon. The record is from RefSeq and is a predicted model, not a curated record. NCBI's taxonomy places the organism in Eukaryota, Metazoa, Chordata, Mammalia, Primates, Lemuridae.